This 342-nucleotide unclassified non-coding RNA is filed under the name soil metagenome. RNAcentral describes it as "partial contains 5.8S ribosomal RNA, internal transcribed spacer 2, and large subunit ribosomal RNA". The stretch from base 1 to 120 matches the Rfam family "5.8S ribosomal RNA", at positions 35 to 154 of the family's 154-position model. The record is from RNAcentral.
GAUGAAGAACGUAGCGAAAUGCGAUAAGUAAUGUGAAUUGCAGAAUCCAGUGAAUCAUCGAAUCUUUGAACGCACAUUGCGCCCGCCAGCAUUCUGGCGGGCAUGCCUGUUCGAGCGUCAUUUCAACCCUCGACCUCCCUUUGGGGAAGUCGGCGUUGGGGACCGGCAGCACACCGCCGGCCCUGAAAUGGAGUGGCGGCCCGUCCGCGGCGACCUCUGCGUAGUAAUCCAACUCGCACCGGAACCCCGACGCGGCCACGCCGUAAAACACCCAACUUCUGAACGUUGACCUCGAAUCAGGUAGGACUACCCGCUGAACUUAAGCAUAUCAAUAAGCGAGGA